GGAGGGGGCAAACGUUUGUUCGGAGUUACUGGGCGUAAAGCGUGCGUAGGCGGUUUGGUAAGUCUUGUGUGAAAUCUCCCCGCUCAACGGGGAACCCGCAUGGGAUACUGCUGAACUUGAGGGUGAGAGAGGCAGGUGGAAUUUCCGGUGUAGCGGUGGAAUGCGUAGAUAUCGGAAAGAACACUCGUGGCGAAGGCGGCCUGCUGGCUCAUCCCUGACGCUGAGGCACGAAAGCCAGGGGAGCGAACGGGAUUAGAUACCCCGGUAGUCCUGGCCGUAAACGGUGAACACUAGAUGUCGGGGGUAUCGACCCCCCCCUCGGUGUCGGAGCUAACGCAUUAAGUGUUCCGCCUGGGGAGUACGACCGCAAGGUUG
RNAcentral lists this ribosomal RNA (375 nucleotides) under uncultured organism. RNAcentral describes it as "partial 16S ribosomal RNA". It matches the Rfam family "Bacterial small subunit ribosomal RNA", at positions 527 to 896 of the family's 1533-position model. The record is from RNAcentral.